GUUGAACGCUGGCGGCAGGCCUAACACAUGCAAGUCGAGCGGAUGACGGGAGCUUGCUCCUUGAUUCAGCGGCGGACGGGUGAGUAAUGCCUAGGAAUCUGCCUGGUAGUGGGGGACAACGUUUCGAAAGGAACGCUAAUACCGCAUACGUCCUACGGGAGAAAGCAGGGGACCUUCGGGCCUUGCGCUAUCAGAUGAGCCUAGGUCGGAUUAGCUAGUUGGUGAGGUAAUGGCUCACCAAGGCGACGAUCCGUAACUGGUCUGAGAGGAUGAUCAGUCACACUGGAACUGAGACACGGUCCAGACUCCUACGGGAGGCAGCAGUGGGGAAUAUUGGACAAUGGGCGAAAGCCUGAUCCAGCCAUGCCGCGUGUGUGAAGAAGGUCUUCGGAUUGUAAAGCACUUUAAGUUGGGAGGAAGGGCAGUAAGUUAAUACCUUGCUGUUUUGACGUUACCAACAGAAUAAGCACCGGCUAACUCUGUGCCAGCCGCCGCAGUAA
Molecule: ribosomal RNA, 500 nt
Filed under: uncultured bacterium
Lineage: Bacteria
Description: partial 16S ribosomal RNA
Rfam family: Bacterial small subunit ribosomal RNA
Source: RNAcentral